Molecule: long non-coding RNA, 499 nt
Filed under: Coturnix japonica (Japanese quail)
Lineage: Eukaryota; Metazoa; Chordata; Aves; Galliformes; Phasianidae
Description: lncRNA (ENSCJPG00005010417.1)
Source: RNAcentral
CUGGGGCUUCACUUCAAGCACAAGGAGAAGAAGGGCAGCAGAAGAAGCAUCUUGUAUUAUUUCAUGUUCCUACAUCUGCUCACUGUAAAUCUCAUCUCUUGGGCAGAAAAUGGUUGUUGCAAAAGGAGGUGCAAACCAUGCUCUGAAAGGCUGAAAUCAUCAUUCUGGUACUUGAUCUGAAAAUUAGCAGGGAGGAUUUGCUGCAAUAAAUGGAAGGCAGAUGAAGGCCACAGAAGAAAGGGAUACACAGCAAGCAGGAACAUUCGUAUUUUCAAAUGUUUUGAUUCAUCCAACUUCUGAAUCUUAAAGAAGAACUUCAUGACAAGACAAAUUGUGCUGAAAUUUUCCAGCUGUAACUACUGGCGGCUUCCCUGGGUCAAAAUCUGAGAUGAGGUUCAGAGUGUGGUACCAGAAAGUCUUGUUUUUGCAUUCAAAUUCCCUGAAGUAUUCUUAGACUUUGUGUGAGGAUCCAGACUCCUAUCAGACAGUACAAAGGGAG